RNAcentral lists this long non-coding RNA (1013 nucleotides) under Oryctolagus cuniculus (rabbit). RNAcentral's name for it is "lncRNA (ENSOCUG00000033082.1)". Lineage: Eukaryota; Metazoa; Chordata; Mammalia; Lagomorpha; Leporidae. The record is from RNAcentral.
GGACAGAAUCCGGCGCCCUGACCGGGACUAGAACCCGGUGUGCUGGCGCCGCAAGACGGAGGAUUAGCCUAGUGAGCCGUGGUGCUGGCCAAAAGUGCAUGGUUUUUGAAAAAUAAAUAAUAAACCCUUUUAUGUAUUUAUUUUUUAAAAAAAGAUUAUUUGAACAGCAAAGUGACAGAGGGGGAGGGAGAGGGGGAAAUGAGAGAGAGAGAGAGAGAGAGAGAGAGAGUCCAUUAAUUCAUUUGUUCACUCCCCAAAUGCCUGCAACAGCCAGGGCUGGGCCAGGCCUAAAUCACAGUUAGGAACUCCUCCUGGGUCUUCAUGUGAGUAGCAGGAACUCACGUAGUUGAGUCAUCAUCUGCUGCCUCCCCAGGUGCAUCAGCAGGAAGUGGGCCUGGAAGUAGAGUAGCCAGGACUCCAACCCAGCGUUCCAUGUGGGAUGCAGGAGCCCCAAAGUGGUAGCUUAACCCACUGCACCACAACUCGCACCCCAUUCUUCACCUACUUCUGGUGUAUUAUCUAGUAUUGUCCCUACGCCUCCCAUCCUCCUAAUAUAAUGAUGCGACUACAUUUAUCACGAGCAAAUGUUGUUCACCGAAGAACCAAAACAUGUACUUUAAUUAUACUUCUUUUGUUGAAAAAUUUCCUUCUCUCCUACUCCUCAGUAUUCCUGAUUAAUUGCCAUAUUGUCUUCUCCUCUCCAUUUUUAGGUGUACUGCUUGACUUUCUGGUCUACCCUGUUCUCAAGUGUGUCUUCAUAUCAUUUACUCUCACCAGAUCCACUUUUCCUGCGCCCCUGGAGCUUUCCAAGUUGAGCAUUGUUUCCUACUGCACAAGGAUUCUUCCCACUUCAGAAUUGCAGCUACGACACUGUAUUGUCUUUUCAGCAGCAGCUUCCCUAACCCCGAAGGCUAGGUGCCUGCCAGUGCCCUGAUGUCUCUGUCCUUCAGAAAUGUUUGUGGCUGAGGGCAUCCGUGAAUAAAGGCAUAAAUCUGAAUAAGAGUGAAGGAUAA